CGGACGGGUGAGUAAUGUCUGGGGAAACUGCCUGAUGGAGGGGGAUAACUACUGGAAACGGUAGCUAAUACCGCAUAACGUCGCAAGACCAAGAGGGGGACCUUCGGGCCUCUUGCCAUCGGAUGUGCCCAGAUGGGAUUAGCUAGUAGGUGGGGUAACGGCUCACCUAGGCGACGAUCCCUAGCUGGUCUGAGAGGAUGACCAGCCACACUGGAACUGAGACACGGUCCAG
Molecule: ribosomal RNA, 232 nt
Filed under: uncultured bacterium
Lineage: Bacteria
Description: partial 16S ribosomal RNA
Rfam family: Bacterial small subunit ribosomal RNA
Source: RNAcentral